AAAUAUUCAUAGGUAACGGUUGGGCAUGCGUCCUAUUAGAUAGUUGGGGGGGUAACGGCCCACCAAGUCGAUGAUAGGUAGGGGUUCUGAGAGGAAGGUCCCCCACACUGGUACUGAGACACGGACCAGACUCCUACGGGAGGCAGCAGUGAGGAAUAUUGGUCAAUGGGCGAGAGCCUGAACCAGCCAAGUCGCGUGAGGGAUGACUGCCCUAUGGGUUGUAAACCUCUUUUGUAUGGGGGGAAUAAGCUUUACGAGUAGAGUGAUGACAGUACCAUACGAAUAAGCAUCGGCUAACUCCGUGCCAGCAGCCGCGGUAAUACGGAGGAUGCGAGCGUUAUCCGGAUUUAUUGGGUUUAAAGGGUGCGUAGGCGGCAUUAUAAGUUAGUGGUAAAAUAUUGGGGCUUCACCUCACUACGCCAUUAAUACUGUAGAGCUAGAGAACAGACGAGGUAGGCGGAAUAAGUUAAGUAGCGGUGAAAUGCAUAGAUAUAACUUAGAACACCGAUAGCGAAGGCAGCUUACCAGACUGAGUCUGACGCUGAUGCACGAGAGCAUGGGUAGCGAACAGGAUUAGAUACCCUGGUAGUCCAUGCCGUAAACGAUGCUCACUGGCCUUAGGCGAUAUAUGGUCU
This 635-nucleotide ribosomal RNA is filed under the name uncultured bacterium. RNAcentral describes it as "bacterial SSU rRNA". It matches the Rfam family "Bacterial small subunit ribosomal RNA", at positions 202 to 842 of the family's 1533-position model. The record is from RNAcentral.